ACUCAAAUGAAUUGACGGGGGCCCGCACAAGCAGCGGAGCGUGUGGUUUAAUUCGACGCAACGCGAAGAACCUUACCAGGGUUUGACAUGGCCAGGCAAGCCGUAGAAAUACGGUCCUCCCGCAAGGGAUCUGGUCACAGAUGCUGCAUGGCUGUCGUCAGCUCGUGCCGUGAGGUGUUGGGUUAAGUCCCGCAACGAGCGCAACCCUCGGGGCUAGUUACCGUGUCUAGCCCGACUGCCGCGACAAACGCGGAGGAAGGUGGGGAUGACGUCAAGUCAGCACGGCUCUUACAUCCUGGGCGACACACACGCUACAAUGGACGCGACAACGGGCAUGCCAAGCCGCAAGGCGGAGCGAAUCCCAACAAAGGCGUCCUCAGUUCAGAUUGUAGUCUGCAACCCGACUACAUGAAGGCGGAGUUGCUAGUAACCGCGGGUCAGCACACCGCGGUGAAUACGUUCCCGGGCCUUGUACACACCGCCCGU
This 486-nucleotide ribosomal RNA is filed under the name uncultured bacterium. RNAcentral describes it as "partial 16S ribosomal RNA". It matches the Rfam family "Bacterial small subunit ribosomal RNA", at positions 899 to 1397 of the family's 1533-position model. The record is from RNAcentral.